This 253-nucleotide ribosomal RNA is filed under the name uncultured bacterium. RNAcentral's name for it is "partial 16S ribosomal RNA". It matches the Rfam family "Bacterial small subunit ribosomal RNA", at positions 524 to 776 of the family's 1533-position model. The record is from RNAcentral.
UACAGAGGUCUCAAGCGUUGUUCGGAUUCAUUGGGCGUAAAGGGUGCGUAGGUGGCGCCGUAAGUCGGGUGUGAAAUCUCCGAGCCUAACUCGGAAACUGCGUCGGAUACUAUUCGGCUAGAGGAAUGGAGGGGAGACUGGAAUUCUCGGUGUAGCAGUGAAAUGCGUAGAUAUCGAGAGGAACACCAGUGGCGAAGGCGAGUCUCUGGACAUUUCCUGACGCUGAGGCACGAAAGCCAGGGGAGCAAACGGG